Non-coding RNA from Triticum aestivum (bread wheat), 124 nucleotides. Lineage: Eukaryota; Viridiplantae; Streptophyta; Magnoliopsida; Poales; Poaceae. The record is from Rfam.
AUUAUACUUUCUCCGUCCGAAAAUACUUGUCAUCGAAAUGAUGUAUCUUAAACUAAAAUACGUCUAGAUACAUUCCUUUUUAUUCAUUUUGGUGACAAGUAUUUUUGGACGGAGGGAGUAGCCA